RNAcentral lists this ribosomal RNA (346 nucleotides) under uncultured bacterium. RNAcentral's name for it is "partial 16S ribosomal RNA". It matches the Rfam family "Bacterial small subunit ribosomal RNA", at positions 338 to 681 of the family's 1533-position model. The record is from RNAcentral.
CCUACGGGAGACUGCAGUGAGGAAUAUUGGUCAAUGGGCGCGAGCCUGAACCAGCCAAGUAGCGUGAAGGAUGACUGCCCUACGGGUUGUAAACUUCUUUUAUAAAGGAAUAAAGUGAGGCACGUGUGCCUGUUUGGAUGUACUUUAUGAAUAAGGAUCGGCUAACGCCGUGCCAGCAGCCGCGGUAAUACGGAGGAUCCGAGCGUUAUCCGGAUUUAUUGGGUUUAAAGGGAGCGUAGAUGGGUUGUUAAGUCAGUUGUGAAAGUUUGCGGCUCCACCGUAAAAUUGCAAUUGAUACUGGCAUCCUUGCGUACAGUUGAGGUAGGCGGAAUUCGUGGUGUCGCGG